RNAcentral lists this small RNA (76 nucleotides) under unclassified sequences. RNAcentral describes it as "dfrA-dnaX RNA". It matches the Rfam family "dfrA-dnaX RNA". The record is from Rfam by way of RNAcentral.
AUGCCUUGUGAUAAAGGUACAAUAAUUUCAUCAUAAUUACAAUAGAAAAGAUGUCAAAAAGGAAUUAUGAUAGUUU